UGUGGAGUAGACUGUUCAAAAGCUGAAGAGUGAAGUGAAGACGCAAAAGAAGAAAAAGAAAGAGGAAACAAGUAGUUCUGAUGAUUCUUCUUCAUCGGACUCUGAAAAAGAAGAGCCUGCUCCAAAAAAACUGGUCCUUGCUACAUAAAAUGGUACUGCUAUUGCCCCUGCUAAGAAAUGCAAGGAGGCUAGCAGUUCAGAUUCUUCGGAUUCAGAUUCUUCACUUGAUUCUGAUGAUGAUAAAGGUCCAAAGGCGAAGGUAACUGCCUUAUCAACAAAGUUGCCUGCAGCUGCUGCCAAGAAUGGUCCAGUAUCUGUUCUGAAGAAGAAAGAUGACUCGGGUGAUAGUUCAGAUUCAGACGAGACAGAGUCAGAAGAGGAAGAGCCCAAGAUUCCUUUGGUUGUUGGAAAACCAAGUGCAGAAUCCACUAAAGAGGAAAGUGAUAGUUCGGAGGAGGAUGACAGUGAUACUGAAAAUGAUAGCAAGCCCUUAGAGAAGCAAAAGGUAAAAAAGGUUCUUGACAAAGAUGAUAGUGACGAUGAUAGUUAUGAGGAAUCUGAUAAGGAGCCUCACGAGAAAAAGAA
Long non-coding RNA from Juglans microcarpa x Juglans regia, 585 nucleotides. RefSeq lists it as uncharacterized. NCBI's taxonomy places the organism in Eukaryota, Viridiplantae, Streptophyta, Magnoliopsida, Fagales, Juglandaceae. The transcript is spliced from 5 exons. The record is from RefSeq and is a predicted model, not a curated record.